RNAcentral lists this ribosomal RNA (460 nucleotides) under uncultured bacterium. RNAcentral's name for it is "partial 16S ribosomal RNA". It matches the Rfam family "Bacterial small subunit ribosomal RNA", at positions 338 to 795 of the family's 1533-position model. The record is from RNAcentral.
CCUACGGGAGGCAGCAGUGAGGAAUAUUGGUCAAUGGACGAGAGUCUGAACCAGCCAAGUAGCGUGAAGGAUGACUGCCCUAUGGGUUGUAAACUUCUUUUAUAAAGGAAUAAAACGAGGCACGUGUGCCGUUUUGCAUGUACUGUAUGAAUAAGGAUCGGCUAACUCCGUGCCAGCAGCCGCGGUAAUACGGAGGAUCCGAGCGUUAUCCGGAUUUAUUGGGUUUAAAGGGAGCGUAGAUGGGUUGUUAAGUCAGUUGUGAAAGUUUGCGGCUCAACCGUAAAAUUGCAAUUGAUACUGGCAGUCUUGAGUACAGUUGAGGUAGGCGGAAUUCGUGGUGUAGCGGUGAAAUGCUUAGAUAUCACGAAGAACCCCGAUUGCGAAGGCAGCUUACUAAACUGUGACUGACAUUGAUGCUCGAAAGUGUGGGUAUCAAACAGGAUUAGAUACCCCAGUAGUC